GAUGAACGCUAGCGGCAGGCUUAACACAUGCAAGUCGAGGGGCAGCGCGGGGCGGCAACGUCCUGGCGGCGACCGGCGGAAGGGUGCGUAACGCGUGAGCGACAUGCCCGAUGCCCGGGGACAACCGGUGGAAACGCCGACUAAUCCCCGAUGGGACGGAGGCCCUCAUGGGUCUCUGUUGAAAGUUACGGCGGCGACGGAUUGGCUCGCGUCCGAUUAGCUUGUUGGCGGGGUAACGGCCCACCAAGGCUACGAUCGGUAGGGGUUCUGAGAGGAAGGUCCCCCACAAUGGAACUGAGACACGGUCCAUACUCCUACGGGAGGCAGCAGUGAGGAAUAUUGGUCAAUGGGCGGAAGCCUGAACCAGCCAUGCCGCGUGCGGGAAGGAGGCCCUAUGGGCUGUGAACCGCUUUUGCCUGGGGGCAAUAAGGGCGUCGCGCACGUCCGAUGAGAGUACCAGGGGAAUAAGCAUCGGCUAACUCCGUGCCAGCAGCCGCGGUAAUACGGGGGAUGCGAGCGUUAUCCGGAUUCAUUGGGUUUAAAGGGUGCGUAGGCUGUGCGUCAAGACAGGGGUGAAAUUCCGGGGCUCAACUCCGGGGCUGCCCUUGAUACUGUCGCGCUGGA
RNAcentral lists this ribosomal RNA (624 nucleotides) under uncultured Bacteroidota bacterium. RNAcentral describes it as "bacterial SSU rRNA". It matches the Rfam family "Bacterial small subunit ribosomal RNA", at positions 28 to 645 of the family's 1533-position model. The record is from RNAcentral. Lineage: Bacteria; Pseudomonadati; Bacteroidota.